UAUCUGGUUGAUUCUGCCAGUAGUCAUAUGCUUGUCUCAAAGAUAAGCCAUGCA
RNAcentral lists this ribosomal RNA (54 nucleotides) under Trichophyton tonsurans. RNAcentral describes it as "partial 18S ribosomal RNA". It matches the Rfam family "Eukaryotic small subunit ribosomal RNA", at positions 1 to 55 of the family's 1831-position model. The record is from RNAcentral. Lineage: Eukaryota; Fungi; Ascomycota; Eurotiomycetes; Onygenales; Arthrodermataceae.